GGAGGAGGUGAACCUGGAACUUGGGAGGACAUCCCUGCUUUCCUGAGUUAGGCCAGGAGCUGGUGUGAGAACUGCAUUUAGGAUGGGAGCUGUGAUGAUACGUGAUAUAUCGUCUCCGGCUAGCCCCAGCCCAGAAGAUGCCUUGCUCCAAGGAAGAAACAAGACAUUUUCAAGUCAUCCUCCCCUGCCAACAAUGAUGAAUUUGGCCCAAGGUGUGGACAUCCAACCGAGCGGGAAGCUGGCAAAUGCAACCCAAACAAAGAAAACGCAUCCUCUGGCAAGGUGUGGUGAGCCUGUGGCACUGACUCUUUCACAGAAGCAGUGAGGACAAGAGCUUAGCAGGAUUUAAGAUCAUGGUACAAAUCAACUUAACCACACAGAGGCAUUUCCAGAGAUGUAAAGCAACAAACCCAUUAUGCCUGGUAGCUUUAUUCAGCUCAAAUACCCGCUGUUCAAGUCUUGGUGUGAAGACCAUCAGCUGGGGACUGGGGUUCAUCCGCCAGCCCCGCUUCAGCCAGAGCAAUGGGCUUGCGGGGAUGGCUGGGGCUCUAUGAGGACUGCAGGGAGACACACAAAGCAGCAGCGGGGAGCAGCGCUCAGAGAUGAAAAGCAGGUGCUUCACUGCAGGAAUGAAACGGAGCAGCUCUCAGCCACAGGAAGAGAUUGCUCUCCCUGUUCCAGUUGAGCCUGUGAUGGGGACAAGCAUCAAUUCAGAGGUAGAUUUUUUUUUUUUUGUUGCUGACUUCUGCAAGUGCUUUGUGAAGAGGAUGCUGAAAUGCAGCAGCAGAGCCUUCCUGCCACUCAGUUUUGUGCAAAGAGCUGACUGUCCUCUUUGUAAGGUGGUUUGAUUCUUUUUUUCCCCCCCUUAGACUGUGGAAUUGCUGUACAGCCCAGAGCUCUCCUCUGGAUUGGUAUUACAUCAAUCUUGGACUAUUUGUAGGAUCCUUUCUCUUUCUGUCACUGCCUUGUAACUACUCUGCACAGCACUGUCUUGCUUCCCACUGUAUUAUGUCUGUGGGUGGAUGGAGAAGGGGUACUGUAGCUUCACUGGAAGCAUUAGUGCAUCCAGCAAACUGGACCUGCUACUCACCAGCCCACACACAAGAAGGAAAAUGCUAUUGUGUUGAAUUGGAGUAUUUUGCUUUUGUUUUUGGAGUGGAGUUUUUCUGUGUGUGUUUAUUUUUAAGUAGGAAGUUUUUCUGGGCAAUGAAAGCUGUGUUUUGUUGAAUUAUGCUCAAGUCACAAUGAAAAGUUAAUCAUGUUUAGCAGCUCAUGCAUUGUCUGACUUUGAAAAACUUCCUUACAUCCAUCCCAGGCUUUCCAGAGGGGCCAGGCAGAGAGAGGAGGCACCACAUGUGAGCCCUGGGACUUCUGACUGGGGCUGCUCCUGGCACAGGAGGGACCCAGUGGGGUCCAGGACGCUUGCCUCCCAACACAGGAGCAUGAACAAGUCCCUCAAACCUCCA
Long non-coding RNA from Gymnogyps californianus (California condor), 1466 nucleotides. RefSeq lists it as uncharacterized. NCBI's taxonomy places the organism in Eukaryota, Metazoa, Chordata, Aves, Accipitriformes, Cathartidae. The transcript is spliced from 4 exons. The record is from RefSeq and is a predicted model, not a curated record.